RNAcentral lists this ribosomal RNA (253 nucleotides) under uncultured bacterium. Its description in RNAcentral is "partial 16S ribosomal RNA". It matches the Rfam family "Bacterial small subunit ribosomal RNA", at positions 524 to 776 of the family's 1533-position model. The record is from RNAcentral.
UACGGGGGGGGCAAGCGUUGUUCGGAAUUACUGGGCGUAAGGGGCUCGUAGGCGGCCAACUAAGUCGGACGUGAAAUCCCCAGGCUCAACCUGGGAACUGCAUCCGAUACUGGAUGGCUUGAAUUCGGGAGAGGGAUGCAGAAUUCCAGGUGUAGCGGUGAAAUGCGUAGAUAUCUGGAGGAAUACCGGUGGCGAAGGCGGCAUCCUGGACCGACAUUGACGCUGAGGAGCGAAAGCCAGGGGAGCAAACGGG